Non-coding RNA from Spinacia oleracea (spinach), 78 nucleotides. The record is from Rfam. NCBI's taxonomy places the organism in Eukaryota, Viridiplantae, Streptophyta, Magnoliopsida, Caryophyllales, Amaranthaceae.
AGGAGAUAUGAGGAUUUGUACCCAUCUUUUCUGCAUUUUGAUGAUGAAUAUCUUACAUGCACUACCAUCUGAUCUCUU